RNAcentral lists this signal recognition particle RNA (285 nucleotides) under Homo sapiens (human). RNAcentral's name for it is "Metazoan signal recognition particle RNA (ENSG00000273725.1)". It matches the Rfam family "Metazoan signal recognition particle RNA". From Rfam's summary of the family: The signal recognition particle (SRP) is a universally conserved ribonucleoprotein. It is involved in the co-translational targeting of proteins to membranes. The eukaryotic SRP consists of a 300-nucleotide 7S RNA and six proteins: SRPs 72, 68, 54, 19, 14, and 9. The record is from RNAcentral. Lineage: Eukaryota; Metazoa; Chordata; Mammalia; Primates; Hominidae.
GCCCGGUGUGGUGGCGGCCGCCUGUAGUCCCAGCUACUAGGGAGGCUGAGGCAGGAGAAUGGCAUGAACCCGGGAGGCGGAGCUUGUAGUGAGCCGAGAUGGCGCCACUGCACUCCAGCCUGGGCGAGAGUACGAGACUGUAUCAAAAAAAAAAAAACAACAAAAUAUUUAAAAAUUGUUUUUUUGAGGUGGAGUGUCUCUCUGUCGCCCAGGCUGGAGUGCAGUGGCGCCAUCUCGGCUUAUUGCAGACUCCGCCUCCCGGGUUCACGCCAUUCUCCUGCCUCA